This 41-nucleotide ribosomal RNA is filed under the name Perenniporia sp. 1V2/2. RNAcentral describes it as "partial 18S ribosomal RNA". It matches the Rfam family "Eukaryotic small subunit ribosomal RNA", at positions 1792 to 1831 of the family's 1831-position model. Lineage: Eukaryota; Fungi; Basidiomycota; Agaricomycetes; Polyporales; Polyporaceae. The record is from RNAcentral.
UAACAAGGUUUCCGUAGGUGAACCUGCGGAAGGAUCAUUAU